GGCCAGACUCCUACGGGAGGCAGCAGUAGGGAAUAUUGCUCAAUGGGGGAAACCCUGAAGCAGCAACGCCGCGUGGAUGAUGAAGGUUUUCGGAGUGUAAACUCCUUUUGGUAGAGAAGAUAAUGACGGUAUCUAAAGAAUAAGCACCGGCUAACUCCGUGCCAGCAGCCGCGGUAAUACGGAGGGUGCAAGCGUUACACGGAAUCACUGGGCGUAAAGAGGGCGUAGGCGGGAUAGCAAGUCAGAUGUGAAAGCCUAUGGCUUAACCAUAGAACUGCAUUUGAAACGGUUAGUCUAGAGUAAGGGAGAGCUGGGUGGAAUUCUUGGGGUAGGGUUAAAAGCCGUAGAAAUCAAGAGGAAAACUC
RNAcentral lists this ribosomal RNA (365 nucleotides) under uncultured bacterium. RNAcentral describes it as "bacterial SSU rRNA". It matches the Rfam family "Bacterial small subunit ribosomal RNA", at positions 329 to 711 of the family's 1533-position model. The record is from RNAcentral.